Non-coding RNA from Pseudonaja textilis, 174 nucleotides. The record is from RefSeq and is a predicted model, not a curated record. NCBI's taxonomy places the organism in Eukaryota, Metazoa, Chordata, Lepidosauria, Squamata, Elapidae.
GAAUUUCGCGUCUGUCAUGCAUGACCAAUGAGGAGACCCACCCGGAUUGGAUCUAGUGUUCCAACUUAACCCAAAGACCCUUCUUCUGCCCUGGACCACCCUGGAGACCCUCCCGGCCAAAUUCCACCCUGGAUUCAGUCCUUCUGUCCUUCAAUAAAGCUUUGGGCUCCAGCU